Long non-coding RNA from Mus musculus (house mouse), 1037 nucleotides. RefSeq annotates it as predicted gene, 41297. NCBI's taxonomy places the organism in Eukaryota, Metazoa, Chordata, Mammalia, Rodentia, Muridae. The record is from RefSeq and is a predicted model, not a curated record. The transcript has 3 exons.
CACAUCUAGCAAAUAAAGAAAGCACAUUGGAACUUAAUGGCAGUAGCAAAAACAAGGCUAGAAACAUAUAUUUAAGGCAGUGGUCUUUAACUUUUAAAUGUUUAGAAAUCAUUAUUUACCAAAGCAGGAUAGACGGGAAAACUGUAUCUUAAUUGCUAAGUGACUUUGGCAAGCUGCACUCCUAAAGGCAGCGAACUGGGGACUGCCUGUAACAAAUAUGGCACUGAAGCUACAACCAGCCACAUGACUGCCCUCAUCUAAGAUGGCACUGAAGCAAUAGCAUAGCAAAACCUUAUCUGCCUACAACAAAGACAGUCACAGAACUUCCCCUAGUUAAGAUGGCGCUAAAAGUCACUGUUAUCCCCUAGAAUGGAGCUGUAGGAAUGUGCCUGUGUGACUUAGAAUGGAACAACAGAAGCAUUACAAAGACAAACAUACUGAUGAAUCUAAGCAGUGCAGCGUGAGGGGCGUGGCUUGGCGGCAAGCGAUGGCUACGGGAGUGUGCCUGUGGCUUGGCAGAGCAGAAUAUCAGCAUGGGGGUCAAGAGUAGAGAGCAGCGCCUGAAGCAGCGUUCUGUCUUCUAGCAACUCUGCUCAGGAGGGCUGCUUUACCUUAGCCGUCCCAGCAGCAGCAUGAAAGUCCACUCAAGCUCAAAUCAUGGAACCAGCUGGUCAUGGCCAGAAACUUCGGAGGUCGUGAGCCAGAAUGACCUUUCCCCUUUAGGUCGGUGUUUCAAGGAUUUGAUUUCAGGAAUGAAACAUCAAGUAAAUCAAACCUAGAAUGUCUGCAGGAACCGGAUUUAAGAUGUGGAAAGAUGACAUCUCUGGCCCGGGGUCACACAGCUAGUAGCCACUGAUUGAAUCCAGACUAUUUUAAUGAGCGUUCAGAUUCUUAGCCCUCCCGCUGCAGUGGGAAAGACUUAAUGAGAAUGUGAACUUACAAGUGAUUACUUUUUCGGCCUUUCUGACCCUUUCAUAGCAGUCUUAUUUAUAAUAGCCAGGAGCUGGAAAGAACCCAGAUGUCCUUCAACAGAGGAA